Molecule: ribosomal RNA, 969 nt
Filed under: Triticum aestivum (bread wheat)
Lineage: Eukaryota; Viridiplantae; Streptophyta; Magnoliopsida; Poales; Poaceae
Description: partial small subunit ribosomal RNA
Source: RNAcentral
AUGGGAAGUUGGCGGAGGCCCGCCAGACCCUCCUCGCUCCCUCCAUCCCCUCGGGCCCUCCUCCGGUGGCUACCCCGUCACAACCCCGUAGGGCGGCUGGCCGCCCACCAGUGGUGGAGGCUGAGCCUCGGGGCCGCACCCGCUCUCGCACUGCCGCUCUCCGCACCCAAAGCGCCUCCCGCGUCCUGGGGUCAAGCAUCCCCCAAUGGUUUCCUAAUGCGUGCCUUAUUCUGGAACAUCCGCGGGUUCGGUCAUGACGGCCGACGCCGCCAACUCAUCGAGUACGUGCGCGAUGAGCAUAUUGACAUAGUGGCGAUUCAGGAAACCAUGCGCUCCGACUUCUCAUUGCCAGAGCUUGACAGGCUGAGCACCCACCUCUUUGCGUGGCACUGGCUCCCUUCUAGUGGGAACGCCGGCCAUUCGGGUGGCAUCCUUCUAGGUGUGAAGGAUGCCACCUUCGAGGUGGGGAGUAUGGACCGGGGCCAGUUCUUUGUUAGUAUGGAGCUCUAUGAACGAGCCCUGAACUUCAAAUGGGAGGUUAGCAUCGUCUAUGGCUCGGCUGACCACAGUAGAUCCGCGUCCUUCCUCGAGGAGCUUAACCGGAAGGUCUCUGCGGCCUCCCUGCCGGUGGUUGUCGGAGGCGAUUUUAACCUCCUCCGAUUCGCGGAAGACAAGAGCAAUGACCAUGUCAACUAUGCACGUAUGCAGAUGUUUAAUGACUGCAUUGCCGAUCUUGGUCUUCGCGAAAUAGAUAGGAUCGGUGCCAGGUUCACCUGGACCAAUCGGCAAGCCUCCCCGACCCAGUCCGUCCUGGACCGGGUCCUAGUCUCCCCGGAAUGGGACCUCCGCAGCCCUCUGGCCUCUCUUCGGGCUAUCACUCGGAUUGGCUCCGACCACGUCCCUCUUCUCUUGUCCUCCUCCGACGAGCGUCCUCCGAUCCCUCCCCGAUUUCGGUUUGAGACAUUCUAG